Molecule: ribosomal RNA, 468 nt
Filed under: uncultured bacterium
Lineage: Bacteria
Description: partial 16S ribosomal RNA
Rfam family: Bacterial small subunit ribosomal RNA
Source: RNAcentral
GACGAACGCUGGCGGCGUGCUUAACACAUGCAAGUCGAACGGGAAGGCCCUGCUUUUGUGGGGUGCUCGAGUGGCGAACGGGUGAGUAACACGUGAGUAACCUGCCCUUGACUUUGGGAUAACUUCAGGAAACUGGGGCUAAUACCGGAUAGGAGCUCCUGCUGCAUGGUGGGGGUUGGAAAGUUUCGGCGGUUGGGGAUGGACUCGCGGCUUAUCAGCUUGUUGGUGGGGUAGUGGCUUACCAAGGCUUUGACGGGUAGCCGGCCUGAGAGGGUGACCGGCCACAUUGGGACUGAGAUACGGCCCAGACUCCUACGGGAGGCAGCAGUGGGGAAUUUUGCACAAUGGGCGGAAGCCUGAUGCAGCAACGCCGCGUGCGGGAUAACGGCCUUCGGGUUGUAAACCGCUUUCGCCUGUGACGAAGCGUGAGUGACGGUAAUGGGUAAAGAAGCACCGGCUAACUACGUG